AACCUUGGCUCCUCAAAAUUUUUAUAAUUUUAUCUCACCUCCCCCAAACAAAUAAAAUUUAUGGCUUUGCCCUUCUAUUCCUUUUACCAAAAGUAUUUUUAUUUUCUAAAAAUGAAAAUAAAAAUAUUUUUUCAAAAAAACAAUAGAAAUUUCUCAUUAUGUAUAGUAAAUGAAGAUAUGCAAAAUAAGCAUCAAUAUCAAGUUACUCAAUACAUAUAUAUAAUUGAUAUAAUAUUUAGAGUUACUCAUAAUCCCUC
RNAcentral lists this long non-coding RNA (257 nucleotides) under Gossypium barbadense (sea-island cotton). RNAcentral's name for it is "long non-coding RNA (GBAR_LNC006263)". The record is from RNAcentral. Lineage: Eukaryota; Viridiplantae; Streptophyta; Magnoliopsida; Malvales; Malvaceae.